CUUUUACAACGAAGAGUUUGAUCCUGGCUCAGGAUGAACGCUAGCGGGAGGCUUAACACAUGCAAGUCGAGGGGCAGCAUUUCUAGCUUGCUAGAAGAUGGCGACCGGCGGACGGGUGCGUAACGCGUAUGCAACUUGCCUAUAACUUAGGGAUAACUUGGAGAAAUCCUUGCUAAUAUCUGAUGUGAUCAAAAAUUCGCAUGUUUUUUUGAUUAAAGAAUUUCGGUUAUAGAUAGGCAUGCGUCCUAUUAGCUAGUUGGUAAGGUAAUGGCUUACCAAGGCUACGAUAGGUAGGGGGCCUGAGAGGGUGAUCCCCCACACUGGUACUGAGACACGGACCAGACUCCUACGGGAGGCAGCAGUG
Molecule: ribosomal RNA, 364 nt
Filed under: Flavobacteriales bacterium
Lineage: Bacteria; Pseudomonadati; Bacteroidota; Flavobacteriia; Flavobacteriales
Description: bacterial SSU rRNA
Rfam family: Bacterial small subunit ribosomal RNA
Source: RNAcentral